Camelus dromedarius (Arabian camel) is the source of this 622-nucleotide long non-coding RNA. RefSeq lists it as uncharacterized. The transcript has 3 exons. NCBI's taxonomy places the organism in Eukaryota, Metazoa, Chordata, Mammalia, Artiodactyla, Camelidae. The record is from RefSeq and is a predicted model, not a curated record.
CAGAGAGCGCCAGAGGGCUCCACACAAAGGGUUUGGAAGGCCCCAGGUCACUAUCCUUAGGCCAUGUUUAAUAGGACGCUCCAUCAACCUGAUUCUAAAGAAAUGACAGGAAUCUUUGAAUAAUAAUGUCCCACAUUUAUUGAGCACCUAAUAUGUGCCUUGGCACUGUGUUAGAAUGUGCUAAGUGUUCUAGACGUAUCAUCUCCUUUAAUCCUCAUAACAAACCUAAGAGCAAUUAAAAAAAAAAACUGCAUUUGACUUUAUUGUACCAAGUACAACUCCAGGAGCUGGGAAUACAGAGCUGAAGAAGGCUUACUCCCUUUGCUUUCAGGAGUAAACUCAGGCCCUCCAAGCUUGACGUUGAAGGAGAGAGAGCCUUGGUGGAAGAAUAUCUUGGUGGAGCUGGUUUGCCCACCCACGAGGCCUCCAACUCUGAUCCUAGAGAUUCACAUCCUUUUAUGGAGGUGAGUUACUCUCACAACUACUUUCUGCACAUUUGUAAACUGGCUCAAGUGUAACAGAAGACUUUCCCCUUAAUACUCUGAGCAAAGCUGAAAAAGGGCUGGAAGCCAUAAGCAAGAUUUUAGAAAAGGCAGAAGAUAACAAAAUGGAAAUAAACACA